Molecule: long non-coding RNA, 785 nt
Organism: Raphanus sativus (radish)
Lineage: Eukaryota; Viridiplantae; Streptophyta; Magnoliopsida; Brassicales; Brassicaceae
Exons: 3
Source: RefSeq, a predicted model, not a curated record
CCUAAAUAUUUGGAAGAAAAUUGAACGAUAUUUGCUUUCACUUUUCACCUUUCACCUUCAUCCAUCCCCCAUCUCAUCCAAAUCUCUAUACCGUUUCACAUAACAAAAAUAUUCAAUCCACACAUCAGCUUCAACGUAUACUCAAGUUGUUUCAGGAACUGCUAUAUAUAUAUAUAUAAUACCAGCAUAUCUCAAGUUGUUUCAGGAACUGCUAUAUAUAUAUAUAUAUAUAUAAAUACCAGCAUAUCUCAGAUUGUGUAGGAAGAAGAAGUUGAUCGAGUAUCUCCCAUGCAAAAGAGUGUCGACAAGUGAUGGAUGAGCAAGGUUCUUCAGGAGAUGAAGUAUUACGACAAGCAUCUUAUUUUCGAUCUCAGUAUGUUCUCGAAGUGUCCAAUGAUUUUUGGUCUCUAGCAAUGUUCUUUCGCAGCCGUGGCUGUCUCCUUCACUCACACCGCGCUGGAGCCAUUCUUCAAUGCAUCUGCUUCUCAGUUCCUUCUUGGACAAUCAAUCCCCAUACCACUAUGGUUGUAUUUAGCUCAUGUUGUACUUUGUAACCACUCUGGCUAAACUCAUUUUCUUAUGUCCAAAGUUUGUUGGAUUAAACCUAAAAGAAAAUCGCAGGAGUUUCAAUGGCUUCGCUAACUGAGUUAUGAUUAAACUGGCUUGGAUUCAUCAGUGUGAUGAUGAUAUCAAACAUCUCUUUCACUUACCGUAGCAUCUUAUCUAAGAAAGCCAUGGUUCUUGUAUUAUAAGUGUAUAAUUUUAAUAAAAUAGAGAAUAUAUGA